Non-coding RNA from Coturnix japonica (Japanese quail), 3775 nucleotides. The record is from RefSeq and is a predicted model, not a curated record. NCBI's taxonomy places the organism in Eukaryota, Metazoa, Chordata, Aves, Galliformes, Phasianidae.
UCCAACCCGGGUCAUUCUGUGAUUCUGUGAUCUUGCCACAUACUUGGAAAUGAGAUCUUCUAUUCCAGUGUAGUGAGUGAUGCAGUUCCAAACACUGACACAGUGGAUGAAAACAUCUCUACAAGUUCUUGUUGAGAUGCAAGGCAGCAUAAGGAUAGUUUGUUUGUUUGUUUGUUGUUGUUCUUGUAUUAUUUUUUCCUCUGUUGUUCCACUGGCACAGCACUUUUGUUAAUUCUAUCACUAAGCUAAAAAUGUCUCGCUCCACAGAAUUUAAUAAUGGUAGCAAAUAGAGGACCAAGCUCUUUGUAUAAGCCAUACGUUAUACAGUAAAUAAGGAAUGUUAUGAUCUAGUUGCUAAUAAAACACCAUGGGAAAUCUGAUGAUCUUAUUGAGGCCAGAAAGAAAAAUGGUUCUUUCACAUAACAGUGUCACCCAACAGAUGGCACUCUAACAUUCACAGUGAACUACAUUUGUAGUGGGUACAGAGACAUUUGGGGUGAAUUUCAGCUUCUGGCCGUGUGAUGGUUUUAUGAUUUUUUAUUUCAUUUUUUGUGAUCAGUAUUCCACAUCGUAACAUGUAGUGCACUGGAAGUUAGAGUUAAUGCUCCAGUCACCUGGACUGUCGAAAUUUCCAGGUGCCUAGUCAUACAGUAAUACAAUUAUGCAGUUGAUAGGUAAACAGGGGUUAAACUUAAAUGAGAUCUGGGAGAGGUGGAGCCAAGCUCCACUCCAUCCACUAGCACAGCCCAAUUACCUUCACCUGUGCUCCUGCAGCUGAAUCAUAGCUUGUCUCAGGUGGUUAAUCAGAGGUUCAGGCUGUGAUCAACAGUUUCCCAUACAUUAGUUCUCAGAAGUAACUUUGAGAAAGUCUUCUCAGAAGACCUGACCAUUCUGUUUUCCAUUUAGAGGGAAAGAUGAAACUGACACGACUGCCCCUUUUCUUUUACUGCUUACCCCCGUGCUGUGUGCUCCCUAGCCAUCUUGCCUUCACUGUUAGAGAAUUUGCUGUUCAGCACUUACAAGAUACAAAAUGACUGCCGGCUGGAUGCAUGUAUGUGAACGACCAGAACUAACAGACCUGGAACAGGGCAGCUGGGCUUGAGUUGUAAGGAGGCGUCCCGGAGCACAUCGGUGGAGAACAACGUGGAGAACGAGUGGUUCCUCGUAGCUCGUGCAGAAGAUCGGCUGUGCCUUCCCGGAGCUGGUAGCUGUCCUAGUGGGGCGGAGGGCGACCUGCGUUACCUCAAAACCCAAAGCGAUGGAGCCUGCCCCCAGUGAGUGCCUUCAGCGGCGCCCUGCGUUGCAGUGUGUACGAAACCGGCUCGUCCUUAAGCAGGGGCGAUGAUGGGGACGGGGCGUUCCUGUUGAUAGAAGAGGGUAAUUUCCUCCUGAAGUGGCGAGUCCUGAGAACAGAGUAAGUGCAGCAGCAGCAAGAAAUAUCAGUUUGAAUAGCAGUCAUUAUGAACCUGGCUGUGAAAACCAAGUGGAGGAAGAAUUGUUUAUGUUCCUGUUAGUGUUGGAUUGAACAGGGAGGAACGGAAGCCUCUGUGAAGUACUAGUAAUUGUUGCAUCUGACAGAACAUUACUUCCAGCAUUCUGUUAAUAAGCUAGAAAGGUAAGAACUACAUGUAACUGGGGACUAUGUAGUACCUGCAAGUACUUCAACUAAGUUGGUUGGUUUUUCUUUUCAUGACUUCCUCAAAGAAAGUCAGAACCCUUUCUCCUUUGUGUGCUUAAUAUAGGUGCUAUGCCUUCUGUGUAUGAGUACUAAUUCCUCUACUAUGCUCUCUGUUAGUGAAAGUUAUGGCUUCAGUAACUAUUUAUCUUGGUUUGGUAAAGUAUUAAGCUAUUCCACAUGAGUUAAUAGGUGACUGAAAAGUGUUAUUCAUUUGGUUGGUUGGCUGUGGAAAUUCUUUAAGCUUCAUUGAGAAGCAAUCCCAGGGAAUAACAAAUAAGAAGUAAUCUGUUUCCUUUACUUGAGAAGGCAGCUGGCUAUGUCCGUCUCCAAAAGAUCCAAUAAAAAUAAUAAUAAUAAUUGCAGAAAUAUCUGAGGAUUUGCCAGUUCAAAAUACCAUGACUGCUAGUUGCUUCAAGUUCCAGCGUGCACUGUUUGGAAUCUCCCUAUCCAAAUGUUUAACAAGACAAAAUAAGCGUUAGGAACAAAGGAAGUGGAAGAGAAAUAAGCUUUGGAUAUAUCAACAGGGAAUGCCACUAAUUUACUGCCUUAUUUUGGUUAAUACUGUCUGCGUAGUACACUGGUAGUUCCCCACAAUUUGUCUUUUCACUUAUUUGCAUAGAAGGUGUAAUGUGGAAUUUCAGUGUAAACGUGUAUGGAGUGCCAGACAGUGCUGGCGUGGUAAUGCAAACAAAAAUCUAGUGCAGUAAAAUGAAAUUCUACCAUUUAGCUCUGAGUCCCAGCGGUGACAUCUUGAUGCUGCUAUGGGUAACAUGUGAUAUGAAGGAGUUUGAGAGAGAAGCUGCUUGUCUUCCUUCAGAGGAUGGCUAGCAGGAUGAUGGGGGUGGACUUUUCCCAUCACAAACAGUUAUUUGUGGUGAGAGAGGGGCAACUGUACUUUCUUUGCCUACUUCUGUCGUGUCCUGCAGCUGCUGGAGUUGUUACUCAUGGGCAGUCAUUCCUGGUUGACACAGACAGUUCAUUUAUACAAGCCACGAAGUCUGGAGUUAUUAAUUGGCAAGAUAUGCAAUCCAGUUUCUGAUUUGAUAGCAGUAGGUCUGGAACACUGUGCACACAUACACCAGAUCAAGUACUUCAUGUUGACAGUCCAUCAGAUAGAAAGUUUUGAAACAUAUGUAAAAACAGUUUCCUGAUAACAAAAAAAAACUCCACUAGUGUAUGGUCCAUUGUCAUGGCAACAACGGUUGUGGGUUGUAUAUAAAUUGUCUUGAUGAAACUUUUUUCUUUGUACUUACUACAGGUAAGUUCUCUAAGAGCAACCACAUCUCAAAAUACUGGCCUUGACUCUGAAGAGGAAGAUGCUCAGUUGACACCAGUUGAUGUGGAUAUGAACCUAGUAACUAAUCUGCUUGAAUCUCCUAGUGCUCAGGCUGGACUGGCAGGACACACCUCUGACACUUUACAGAGCAUGGAUGUGAAUUUACCUGAGAUUACAGGUAGUAUUGGCUCGAGUGAAGGUGCGACUGUAUAUAAUAAGAGGCUGUCUCAAUUCAGAAGAUGUGACUGAUUGGGAAAAGAGAGGAGUAGCAACAUUUGGGAGAAGAGACGAGGUCUGCAUUUAAAGCACAUUAUACAUGUGUUACGUGUGGUUUUAAAGGCAUAAAUUGAAAUUAUCCUGAAAUGCUGUCUAUGUGCACACUGUUUUAGACAGAAUUAGGUUCUUUCAAAAAACAGUAUGUUUUCAGAAAACUGCAAGAUUAUAUUGUGACUUGAAUUCAACUCUUGUUACAAUGCUUUUCUUUAAAGCUGGCAUUCCAAUUUGCUGUAUUUCCAAAGUAUCCUUUACCCAUAGCAAGGUGCUGUCGGUAUCUGGAGAAUGCCGCUGCGUUCAUGGAGAGACAGAGGAAUACCAUGCAGGAGGGGCUGUGUUCCCUCAUGUGAAUUUGGGAAUGCUGAUUCAACGUUCAUCACACAUUCAACAGCUUUUCCAAAAGUACAAAUGCUACAUUGUAGAAACUUUUGAUAAUUGCUAUAAGAAUGGUUUCCUUACUAAUAGAAGUAUUUGAGUAAUCUGAUGGGAUAUGUUAAUAUUGCUAUAAUACUGAGUUUAUUUAAAAUAAAAACACAAGUACAACUUGA